CUACCAUGGCAGUCACGGGUAACGGAGAAUUAGGGUUCGAUUCCGGAGAGGGAGCCUGAGAAACGGCUACCACAUCUAUGGAAGGCAGCAGGCGCGUAAAUUACCCAAUCCUGAUUCAGGGAGGUAGUGACAAGAAAUAACAACCUAUGUGAUUUAUUACUGUGGAUUGUAAUGAGUUCAAUUUAAAACACUGAACGAGGAACAAUUGGAGGGCAAGUCUGGUGCCAGCAGCCGCGGUAAUUCCAGCUCCAAUAGCGUAUAUUAAAGUUGUUGCAGUUAAAAAGCUCGUAGUUGAAUUUCUAGGCAGGUUUAAUUUGGACUUUGUUCGGUUAUAUCUGUCUAUCCGACAUUGAACUAUACUGGGUAUUAAGUUAUCCAUAUAGCGAACUGUCAUUUUACUUUGAAAAAAUUAGAGUGUUUCAGGCAGGCAAUUGCCCGAAUAUCUUAGCAUGGAAUAAUGGAAUAGGACUUUGGUUCAUCUGAUUGGUUAUUGAAUCAGAGUAAUGAUUAAUAGGGACAGUUGGGGGCAUUAGUAUUUAAUUGUCAGAGGUGAAAUUCUUGGAUUUAUUAAAGACUAACUUAUGCGAAAGCAUUUGCCAAGGAUGUUUUCAUUAAUCAA
This 619-nucleotide ribosomal RNA is filed under the name Ciliophora sp. Its description in RNAcentral is "SSU rRNA". It matches the Rfam family "Eukaryotic small subunit ribosomal RNA", at positions 341 to 980 of the family's 1831-position model. The record is from RNAcentral. Lineage: Eukaryota; Ciliophora.